Molecule: long non-coding RNA, 2821 nt
Filed under: Homo sapiens (human)
Lineage: Eukaryota; Metazoa; Chordata; Mammalia; Primates; Hominidae
Description: HSALNT0345048
Source: RNAcentral
GAGCACCGCUUCGCCACGUGAUCGGCAGCGCGCCCGGAGUGAUCCGGCUGCGGGCCAGGGUCUGGGAAGGGGGUGGUGGGUCGCCGUUUCAUCAGAAGCCGGAGGACGGGCGCCAGGGGGCAACUUCCUACAGGAGGGCGUCCCGUUAGAAUGACAGGGCUUUUGCAAAAGUCUGACACCCGUGGCACAGAGCGCCCCAGAUAUGGAGGGUUUCACAGGCUCAUGUGUGGCUUCUUCAGUCCUCUCUUCAUUCACUCAUGUAUUCAUUUAUUCAACGACAUAUUACUAAGGAACCUCCUUAAGCCGGGAUGCUGAACGUGGAAAAAUAGUUGACUCUUGAACAAUGUGGGGGCUUGGGGCACCAACCCCCUGUGCAGUUGAAAAUCGACAUAUAACUUUGACUCGCCAAAAACUUCACUACAAUAGCCUGCUGCCAACCUGAAGUCUUACCAAUAACAUCAACAGUCAAUUAAACAUAUUACUAGGCUGAAAAGGAGAAGGAAGUGAAGGGGUUGGUCUUGCCGUCUCACGAGUGGCAGAGGCAGGAGAAAAUCCAAAUCCUCAGAGGAAUCCUGUAUUGUGGGACUCUGGCUAGCUUUAUUUAACCUGGCACUUCACAAGCUGACCCAAGAUCUCACGGUUCUUGCAACGCUGCAUUUUAGUGUAUGGAAAGGUGGGAAAGAGAUCAGAAUGAAUAUAGAUGAGUAUCUUAUUCCCAUUUAGGCUGCUAUAACAAAAUACUGUCCACAGAGUGGCUUGUAAAUAACACACACAUCUAUUGCUCACAGUUCUGGAGGCUGGAAAGUCCAAGAUCAAGCUGCAGGCAGCUUUGGCGUCUCGGGAAGUUUUGCUUCCUUGUAGACAGUGCCAUCUUGCUGUAUCCUCAUGUGGUUGAAGGGGCAAAGGAGCUCUCUCUGGCCUCUUUUGUAUGGACCCUAAUCUCACUCAUGAGUGUUCUGCCCUCCCAUAACCUAAUUACCACCUCUUGGGUCUAACUCCUAAUACCAUCACCUUGGGGGCUAGGACUUCCACAUAUGAAUUUUGGGGGCAUGCAAACAUUCAGACCAUAGCAGUGAGCAUGAGUGAAAUUUUAGGAAGUAAAUCCUAACAGAAUUGGGAAAUACAUCAUGCAUGAUUCAAUUCUGCGCACUCUUAGGCCUCAAGAGAACAAGGAGGGAAACUAACAGAUUAUGUGCUGAGCAAUUUUUUUUCUAUAGCAGGACAGGCAGAAGGAUGCCUUCUUCCACGCAAGCACUGAACCAAACCACAGUAGAAGAAACAGAAUCAAAUGAGAGAGAUUCAACUGACCAGUUUAAGGCUUAUCAGAAAGGAACAAAGACAUACCAAAAUAGACCAUCCUUGCACAAACACAGACACACAGGGACAAGGCACAAGUGCAUCACUUACACCAGCACAGGUGCUAGCAAGAAACCCAUUCAUAUGAACACUUUAUGCGGAUUUUAAAGGGAAAACUCUUCUUUUAAACAUAAAGGACUUUUAUCUUUGUAGUAUCCACAUUUAUUCACUCAUUCAUUUGAUGCAAUUUAUGUGCCAGAUGCUUGGUCAGGACUGAGGAUGUGUAGUGGACAAGCCAGGAUUGCUGCAGUGAUGUGCUCACCAUUGGAGAGAGGAAUGACUGUCAACAAAUCACUACAGGCCCAUAUGUUAAGUUCUUUAAUAGUACGGUGACUGGAACUACGGGACGGAACCCAAAAUGCAGUCACCCAAACGCAUCAUGUCCAUUUUGAUCCCUACAGCAAUUAAGCCUUGCUUUCACAGCCGCUGAAGCAGACCAACAGAUGGUUGUUUAAUUGUUUAUAAAACCAAACAUUAACUACUGGGCUUGGCAACGUAUCUCUUCUCCUGAAGCCUCUCAAAGCAGAUAUCAGACAACACUCUGGAAGAUGCUGAGAAACAUCAAAAGAUCAAAGGUCGAAUCUUGGAAUUCAGAUCUGUCAUUGACCUGCCUUAUAACUUCUGUCAAACUGCAAUGUGGUGAGAUUGUUCACAUGUUUCACAGCAGUGUUGCAUGGAAUGACUAAUGGCCUUCAGUUGGUUCCUGUGUAGAUGGUAAAAUGGAAAGCUGUUCACAAAACCCCUUUCUAGCAAAGAUGCGUCUCUGCCAAGUCACAUAUGUUGGCCAGAGGUGUGUUUAGGGAACUUGGCCCUCUUCAGAAAAAUACAGUCUCCUUGUUCCUGGCCAGAUUUUAAUGUUGCUCUACCUUUUAGCUUAUGAAGCUUCAGGCUGUCUGUACAAAUGCUGUCUGUUUUAAUAGAGUGCUAAUUGCAGUAACGGGCAGGGCACUUAUGUCUGUAAUCAUCACAUCAACGCCACUUGGCUUAAUCCUUGAAAAUGGACAACAAGCUAUUACUAAACCAUAAAAAUCACAAAUUGUGCGUGCUGACCUAGAGACACCUCCAAUCAAUGAGAAGCAGCCUGAGAGCCACCAAAGGCUCUUCAAUGUCCAGCUGUCACCGACAUUCCCCAAGAACUUCAAAGAUUUUAAAGGCCACCAUUUCCAUGCACGUGUCUCUUGGCGUUGCUGCUGUUUACACUAUGUGGAAGCUGGACACUCAGCCUGUUUCGGGGGGACCCAGGCUAAAGGUUCUGCCCUAGGUGUGCCUCUUCCUUAUCCUCCUGGGUUCAGCUUCAACGUCACAUGCCCAGACUUUCAGCCUCCAGGACUUAUACCAGCACCCACUCUCCCUCCUGAUUCCCAGGCCUUCAGCCUUAGACUGGGAGUUAUAGGAUUGGCUCUCCUAGUAAAGGGUAAGAUAGAUGUAUUCUUUUAUAUAUAAUAUAUAACACAAUGGCUCUCUG